RNAcentral lists this non-coding RNA (30 nucleotides) under Homo sapiens (human). The record is from RNAcentral. Lineage: Eukaryota; Metazoa; Chordata; Mammalia; Primates; Hominidae.
UCUGAUUCUGACAGCAAUGUGGGCACUUCC